GCGCCCGUAGCUCAGCUGGAUAGAGCAACAGAUUGCGGUUCUGUAGGUCGGGAGUUCGAAUCUCUCCGGGCGCG
This 74-nucleotide transfer RNA is filed under the name Nitratiruptor sp. SB155-2. It matches the Rfam family "tRNA". From Rfam's summary of the family: Transfer RNA (tRNA) molecules are approximately 80 nucleotides in length. Their secondary structure includes four short double-helical elements and three loops (D, anti-codon, and T loops). RNAcentral also lists the same sequence under 2 other names. Lineage: Bacteria; Pseudomonadati; Campylobacterota; Epsilonproteobacteria; Nautiliales; Nitratiruptoraceae. The record is from Rfam by way of RNAcentral.